RNAcentral lists this signal recognition particle RNA (299 nucleotides) under Saimiri boliviensis boliviensis (Bolivian squirrel monkey). RNAcentral describes it as "Metazoan signal recognition particle RNA (ENSSBOG00000000387.1)". It matches the Rfam family "Metazoan signal recognition particle RNA". Rfam says of the family: The signal recognition particle (SRP) is a universally conserved ribonucleoprotein. The record is from RNAcentral. Lineage: Eukaryota; Metazoa; Chordata; Mammalia; Primates; Cebidae.
GCUGGGCACAGUGGUAUGUGCCUGUAGUCCCAGCUACUCGGGAGGCUGAGGUGGGAGGAUCGCUUGAACCCUGAAGUUCUGGGCUGUAGUGCGCUAUGCCAAUUGGGUGUCCGCACUAAGUUCGGCAUCAAUAUGGUGACCUCCCGGGAGCAGGGGAACAUCAGGUUGCCUAAGGAGGGGUGAACCGUCCCAGGCUGGAAACAGAGCAGGUCGAGACUCCCAUCCUGAUCAGUAGUGGGAUUACGCCUGUGAAUAGCCACUGCACUCCAGCCUGUGCAACAUAUUGAGACCCUGUCUCU